RNAcentral lists this ribosomal RNA (477 nucleotides) under uncultured bacterium. Its description in RNAcentral is "partial 16S ribosomal RNA". It matches the Rfam family "Bacterial small subunit ribosomal RNA", at positions 28 to 522 of the family's 1533-position model. The record is from RNAcentral.
GACGAACGCUGGCGGCGUGCUUAACACAUGCAAGUCGAACGGUAAGGCCCUUCGGGGUACACGAGUGGCGAACGGGUGAGUAACACGUGGGUGAUCUGCCCUGCACUUCGGGAUAAGCCUGGGAAACUGGGUCUAAUACCGGAUAGGACCACUGCCUGCAUGGGUGGUGGUGGAAAGCUUUUGCGGUGUGGGAUGGGCCCGCGGCCUAUCAGCUUGUUGGUGGGGUGAUGGCCUACCAAGGCGACGACGGGUAGCCGGCCUGAGAGGGUGACCGGCCACACUGGGACUGCGAGACGGCCCAGACUCGUACGGGAGGCAGCAGUGGGGAAUAUUGCACAAUGGGCGCAAGCCUGAUGCAGCGACGCCGCGUGAGGGAUGACGGCCUUCGGGUUGUAAACCUCUUUCAGCACCGACGAAGCGCAAGUGACGGUAGGUGCAGAAGAAGGACCGGCCAACUACGUGCCAGCCGCCGCGUAA